Molecule: ribosomal RNA, 468 nt
Filed under: uncultured bacterium
Lineage: Bacteria
Description: partial 16S ribosomal RNA
Rfam family: Bacterial small subunit ribosomal RNA
Source: RNAcentral
GACGAACGCUGGCGGCGUGCUUAACACAUGCAAGUCGAACGGAAAGGCCCUGCUUUUGUGGGUUUCUCGAUUGCCGAAGGCGUGAGUAUCACGUGUGUAUCCUGCCCUUGACUUUCGGAUAACUUCACGAAACUGGGGCUAAUAUCGGAUAGGAUCUCCUGCUCCAUGGUGGGCGUUGGAAAGUUUCGGCUUUUGUGGAUGGACUCGCGGCUUACCCGCUUGUUGGUGGGGUAGUGGCUGACCCAGGCUUUGAGGGGUACGCGGCCUGACUGAGUGAACGGCGACAUAGGGACUGAGAGAGGGCACAGACUGCUACGGGAGGCAGAAGUGGGGAAUAUUGCACAAGGAGCGGGAGCGGGAUGAAGAAGCGCCGCGGGCGGGAUGACGGUCUUAGGGGUGAAAAACGCAUUCGCCUGUGACGAAGCGGGAGUGAAGGUAAUGGGUAAAGAAGCACCGGCUAACUACGUG